GUACUAUAAUAUUUAAUAGAAUUAUUAAUUUUAAUAAAUCUUUUUUUUUUUUGAGAGGGAGAUAAAGUAUGCUAUUUGUUUCGAAAAUUUAGUUAAAAAUAUGAAGUAACUGGACUACGAACUUUGAAUAUCAGACACUAAUUUGUGGUAGAGCAGUGAAUUCAAAUAUUAUUAUUAUUAUUUUUUGAUUAAACAGAGAUAUACCCUAUUUGAUAAAAAAAUAUUAUCAAUUAU
This 234-nucleotide long non-coding RNA is filed under the name Ananas comosus (pineapple). RNAcentral describes it as "long non-coding RNA (ACOM_LNC018802)". Lineage: Eukaryota; Viridiplantae; Streptophyta; Magnoliopsida; Poales; Bromeliaceae. The record is from RNAcentral.